Molecule: ribosomal RNA, 103 nt
Filed under: Saimiri boliviensis boliviensis (Bolivian squirrel monkey)
Lineage: Eukaryota; Metazoa; Chordata; Mammalia; Primates; Cebidae
Source: RNAcentral
AUCUACAGCCAUACCACCCUGAAUGCUCCCAAUCCCGUUUGGUCUCUGAAGUUAAGCAGGGUCUGGCCUCUGCAGGACAUACAACACAGGAACGUUGUGAACA